CUGCCGGCGUAGCGGCCUCCAGUUCGGCCUACCCGCCGGUUGGGGCGUAUCCUCCGCCACCGGCUGGAUAUGGGUAUCCGCCACAGCAGCCCCCUCCGCCUGGGUAUGGAUAUCCACCACCUCCGGCGCCGGCGGGAUAUGGGUAUCCACCACCACAGGCGGGAUACGGAUAUCCACCGCAGCAAGGGUACGGGUACCAGCCGGCGGUGCAAAAGCCGGCAAAGAAGAGCAAGUUUGGACUAGGGAUGGGGGCUGGGCUGUUGGGAGGAGUGGUUGGUGGGCUUUUGAUCGGUGAUUUGGUUUCCGAUGCAGCUGGUGGUGGCUUC
This 326-nucleotide long non-coding RNA is filed under the name Vitis vinifera (wine grape). RNAcentral describes it as "long non-coding RNA (VVIN_LNC001298)". Lineage: Eukaryota; Viridiplantae; Streptophyta; Magnoliopsida; Vitales; Vitaceae. The record is from RNAcentral.